Molecule: ribosomal RNA, 436 nt
Filed under: uncultured bacterium
Lineage: Bacteria
Description: bacterial SSU rRNA
Rfam family: Bacterial small subunit ribosomal RNA
Source: RNAcentral
AACGAACGCUGGCGGCAGGCCUAACACAUGCAAGUCGAGCGAGGCUUCGAGCCGAGCGGCGAACGGCUGAGUAACACGUUGGAACAUGCCCCGAACUCAGGGAUAACUCAUCGAAAGAUGAGCUAAUACCGGAUAGUCCCGCAAGGGUAAAGCUUUUGCGGUUCGGGAGUGGCCUGCGGUCUAUCAGCUAGUUGGUAAGGUAAAAGCUUACCAAGGCUAUGACGGAUAGCUGGUGUGAGAGCACGACCAGUCAGAAUGGAACUGAGACACGGUCCAUACUCCUACGGGAGGCAGCAGUAAGGAUCUUCCGCAAUGGGCGAAAGCCUGACGGAGCGACACCGCGUGAGGGAUGACACCUUUUGGGGCGUAAACCUCUUUUCUGAGUGAAUAAGUUCUGAAGUUAACUCAGGAAUAAGCUCCGGCUAAUUACGUGCCA